RNAcentral lists this ribosomal RNA (211 nucleotides) under Klebsiella pneumoniae. RNAcentral describes it as "partial 16S ribosomal RNA". It matches the Rfam family "Bacterial small subunit ribosomal RNA", at positions 800 to 1010 of the family's 1533-position model. The record is from RNAcentral. Lineage: Bacteria; Pseudomonadati; Pseudomonadota; Gammaproteobacteria; Enterobacterales; Enterobacteriaceae.
CCGUAAACGAUGUCGAUUUGGAGGUUGUGCCCUUGAGGCGUGGCUUCCGGAGCUAACGCGUUAAAUCGACCGCCUGGGGAGUACGGCCGCAAGGUUAAAACUCAAAUGAAUUGACGGGGGCCCGCACAAGCGGUGGAGCAUGUGGUUUAAUUCGAUGCAACGCGAAGAACCUUACCUGGUCUUGACAUCCACAGAACUUUCCAGAGAUGGA